GGUUAAGCGACUAAGCGUACACGGUGGAUGCCCUGGCAGUCAGAGGCGAUGAAGGACGUGCUAAUCUGCGAUAAGCGUCGGUAAGGUGAUAUGAACCGUUAUAACCGGCGAUUUCCGAAUGGGGAAACCCAGUGUGAUUCGUCACACUAUCAUUAACUGAAUCCAUAGGUUAAUGAGGCGAACCGGGGGAACUGAAACAUCUAAGUACCCCGAGGAAAAGAAAUCAACCGAGAUUCCCCCAGUAGCGGCGAGCGAACGGGGAGCAGCCCAGAGCCUGAAUCAGUGUGUGUGUUAGUGGAAGCGUCUGGAAAGGCGCGCGAUACAGGGUGACAGCCCCGUACACAAAAAUGCACAUACUGUGAGCUCGAUGAGUAGGGCGGGACACGUGGUAUCCUGUCUGAAUAUGGGGGGACCAUCCUCCAAGGCUAAAUACUCCUGACUGACCGAUAGUGAACCAGUACCGUGAGGGAAAGGCGAAAAGAACCCCGGCGAGGGGAGUGAAAAAGAACCUGAAACCGUGUACGUACAAGCAGUGGGAGCCUCUUAAUGGGGUGACUGCGUACCUUUUGUAUAAUGGGUCAGCGACUUAUAUUCUGUAGCAAGGUUAACCGAAUAGGGGAGCCGAAGGGAAACCGAGUCUUAACUGGGCGUUAAGUUGCAGGGUAUAGACCCGAAACCCGGUGAUCUAGCCAUGGGCAGGUUGAAGGUUGGGUAACACUAACUGGAGGACCGAACCGACUAAUGUUGAAAAAUUAGCGGAUGACUUGUGGCUGGGGGUGAAAGGCCAAUCAAACCGGGAGAUAGCUGGUUCUCCCCGAAAGCUAUUUAGGUAGCGCCUCGUGAAUUCAUCUCCGGGGGUAGAGCACUGUUUCGGCAAGGGGGUCAUCCCGACUUACCAACCCGAUGCAAACUGCGAAUACCGGAGAAUGUUAUCACGGGAGACACACGGCGGGUGCUAACGUCCGUCGUGAAGAGGGAAACAACCCAGACCGCCAGCUAAGGUCCCAAAGUCAUGGUUAAGUGGGAAACGAUGUGGGAAGGCCCAGACAGCCAGGAUGUUGGCUUAGAAGCAGCCAUCAUUUAAAGAAAGCGUAAUAGCUCACUGGUCGAGUCGGCCUGCGCGGAAGAUGUAACGGGGCUAAACCAUGCACCGAAGCUGCGGCAGCGACGCUUAUGCGUUGUUGGGUAGGGGAGCGUUCUGUAAGCCUGCGAAGGUGUGCUGUGAGGCAUGCUGGAGGUAUCAGAAGUGCGAAUGCUGACAUAAGUAACGAUAAAGCGGGUGAAAAGCCCGCUCGCCGGAAGACCAAGGGUUCCUGUCCAACGUUAAUCGGGGCAGGGUGAGUCGACCCCUAAGGCGAGGCCGAAAGGCGUAGUCGAUGGGAAACAGGUUAAUAUUCCUGUACUUGGUGUUACUGCGAAGGGGGGACGGAGAAGGCUAUGUUGGCCGGGCGACGGUUGUCCCGGUUUAAGCGUGUAGGCUGGUUUUCCAGGCAAAUCCGGAAAAUCAAGGCUGAGGCGUGAUGACGAGGCACUACGGUGCUGAAGCAACAAAUGCCCUGCUUCCAGGAAAAGCCUCUAAGCAUCAGGUAACAUCAAAUCGUACCCCAAACCGACACAGGUGGUCAGGUAGAGAAUACCAAGGCGCUUGAGAGAACUCGGGUGAAGGAACUAGGCAAAAUGGUGCCGUAACUUCGGGAGAAGGCACGCUGAUAUGUAGGUGAAGUCCCUUGCGGAUGGAGCUGAAAUCAGUCGAAGAUACCAGCUGGCUGCAACUGUUUAUUAAAAACACAGCACUGUGCAAACACGAAAGUGGACGUAUACGGUGUGACGCCUGCCCGGUGCCGGAAGGUUAAUUGAUGGGGUUAGCGGUAACGCGAAGCUCUUGAUCGAAGCCCCGGUAAACGGCGGCCGUAACUAUAACGGUCCUAAGGUAGCGAAAUUCCUUGUCGGGUAAGUUCCGACCUGCACGAAUGGCGUAAUGAUGGCCAGGCUGUCUCCACCCGAGACUCAGUGAAAUUGAACUCGCUGUGAAGAUGCAGUGUACCCGCGGCAAGACGGAAAGACCCCGUGAACCUUUACUAUAGCUUGACACUGAACAUUGAGCCUUGAUGUGUAGGAUAGGUGGGAGGCUUUGAAGUGUGGACGCCAGUCUGCAUGGAGCCGACCUUGAAAUACCACCCUUUAAUGUUUGAUGUUCUAACGUUGGCCCCUAAUCGGGGUUGCGGACAGUGUCUGGUGGGUAGUUUGACUGGGGCGGUCUCCUCCUAAAGAGUAACGGAGGAGCACGAAGGUUGGCUAAUCCUGGUCGGACAUCAGGAGGUUAGUGCAAUGGCAUAAGCCAGCUUGACUGCGAGCGUGACGGCGCGAGCAGGUGCGAAAGCAGGUCAUAGUGAUCCGGUGGUUCUGAAUGGAAGGGCCAUCGCUCAACGGAUAAAAGGUACUCCGGGGAUAACAGGCUGAUACCGCCCAAGAGUUCAUAUCGACGGCGGUGUUUGGCACCUCGAUGUCGGCUCAUCACAUCCUGGGGCUGAAGUAGGUCCCAAGGGUAUGGCUGUUCGCCAUUUAAAGUGGUACGCGAGCUGGGUUUAGAACGUCGUGAGACAGUUCGGUCCCUAUCUGCCGUGGGCGCUGGAGAACUGAGGGGGGCUGCUCCUAGUACGAGAGGACCGGAGUGGACGCAUCACUGGUGUUCGGGUUGUCAUGCCAAUGGCACUGCCCGGUAGCUAAAUGCGGAAGAGAUAAGUGCUGAAAGCAUCUAAGCACGAAACUUGCCCCGAGAUGAGUUCUCCCUGACUCCCUGAGAGUCCUGAAGGAACGUUGAAGACGACGACGUUGAUAGGCCGGGUGUGUAAGCGCAGCGAUGCGUUGAGCUAACCGGUACUAAUGAACCGUGAGGCUUAACCUU
RNAcentral lists this ribosomal RNA (2905 nucleotides) under Escherichia coli. RNAcentral's name for it is "23S ribosomal RNA". It matches the Rfam family "Bacterial large subunit ribosomal RNA". The record is from RNAcentral. RNAcentral also lists the same sequence under 2 other names. Lineage: Bacteria; Pseudomonadati; Pseudomonadota; Gammaproteobacteria; Enterobacterales; Enterobacteriaceae.